This 253-nucleotide ribosomal RNA is filed under the name uncultured bacterium. RNAcentral describes it as "partial 16S ribosomal RNA". It matches the Rfam family "Bacterial small subunit ribosomal RNA", at positions 524 to 776 of the family's 1533-position model. The record is from RNAcentral.
UACAGAGGGUGCAAGCGUUGUUCGGAAUUAUUGGGCGUAAAGCGCGUGUAGGCGGCUUUGCAAGUCGGGUGUGAAAGCCCUCAGCUUAACUGAGGAAGUGCGCCCGAAACUGCAGAGCUUGAGUACCGGAGAGGAUGGUGGAAUUCCCCAAGUAGAGGUGAAAUUCGUAGAUAUGGGGAGGAACACCGGUGGCGAAGGCGACCAUCUGGACGGAUACUGACGCUGAGACGCGAAAGCGUGGGUAGCAAACAGG